This 83-nucleotide transfer RNA is filed under the name Porphyrostromium japonicum. RNAcentral describes it as "tRNA-Tyr". It matches the Rfam family "tRNA". From Rfam's summary of the family: Transfer RNA (tRNA) molecules are approximately 80 nucleotides in length. The record is from RNAcentral. Lineage: Eukaryota; Rhodophyta; Compsopogonophyceae; Erythropeltidales; Erythrotrichiaceae.
GGGUCGAUGCCCGAGUGGUUAAAGGGGGCGGAUUGUAAAUCCGCUGGUUUUUUCCUACGUUGGUUCAAAUCCAACUCGGCCCA